This is a long non-coding RNA of Sarcophilus harrisii (Tasmanian devil), 8302 nucleotides long. NCBI's taxonomy places the organism in Eukaryota, Metazoa, Chordata, Mammalia, Dasyuromorphia, Dasyuridae. The record is from Ensembl.
AAAUAAAACUGCCCUUGUUCUUUUUGGACUUUUUGAAAUGUGGGAAUGGUUUAAUGGUGGAAAGUUCUAACCAAGAUUUUUUUUUAAAAAGGUCAGAAGAGUGAUGUAUUACUUGACCUAACCCAAGUAGGGAAUGCUAUUUCUGAAACAUUUCCAGCAUUUGACCUCUUCUUUCCACUCACACAGCCAUCAUGCUAGUUCAAGCUUUGCAGAAUACUCUUCAUUUUUCUCUCUGCUUUGAGACUCUGCCUUCCUCACUCCUCCUUCCUUAAAGUUAUAUCCUGAAACACAGGAUACUAAUUAAACUGUGGAUCCCUGUGACCUCCAGAGUCAAAUACAAACUUCUGUAUGGCCUUUAAAGCCCCUCACCACAAUGAAGUCUCUGAUCUUGCCCUUCCAGCAUUAUAUACUCCCUUUCAUAUACUCUGGGGUCCAAUCAAACUGACCUUGCACAGACUGUUGUCUCCUGCCUGAAGUACUCUUCCACCUCAUCUCUGCCUUUGAGAAUCCCUUGCUUCUUUCAAAGCACAGUUCAAGAUCAUCUUGUCCAUAAGACUUUGUUGGAUCUUCUUAGUGCCUCCCCAACUUCCUGGGAGCUUAUAUUCAUUUACUUUGUGUAUUUCUGGUACGUCUGUAUGUCCCCUUUGUUUCCUGUGUUAGAAUGUAAGCACUUUGUGGACACAGGGUUGCCAUUUUGUGUAAUAUUCUCUCUAAAAUGUAAUAUUCUCUUGUUGGGGUUUGUUGGAGUCUGUGGAGGCAGCCUUCCUUUCAGUUCAGUAAUCACAAGUGCAGUCAGGGAUUAAGGUCCAAAUCCUUUAAUGUCUCUUCCCAAGUCUUGUCUCCUUUCCUGCAGCCUGGUUAGCUUUCUAAUAGUCCAGAUCCUUUAUUAUCUCCUUCCUGGGGCUGGGCAGCUUUCUGGAGAGCCUUUCAGUAUGGUUUUGGUUCUGAGAACUUGAGCUCCCACCUGCCUUCUCUGGCUUCUGAAUCUCCCCAACUGAAUCCUGGCUGAGGUUCCUAGCUUAUAUAUGCUCUCUUGUCUUGUCUUUCACUUGGGGCUCAGCUAGUUUUCUUAGAAGCCUUCCAGGUCUUGGUUUCAGUGGAGAAGUGAAGGAGAAGAGCCUACCACCAUUUCUCUGGUCUUCCUUUGUUCUGAUUCUGGCCGAGUUUGUCCGAGCUUAUAUGGUCUCUUAUCAAAAGUGUGAAUCUUGUACAACUAUAGUAAGUACUAAGUACGUGUACUGACUGAACUAAAGAACUGUUAAGCACCAUGCUAAAUAACCAUUGUCUCUAUCAAUUCCACUGACUUUACCACCUUGUUUCAAGUUCUGGCCUAUAACAAUUUUGGUCUUUGUAUCACAGCCCUGGAAUCAUUUCUGACCUAAGUUAUUUACUGUGUCACCUGGACAAGUCAUUAACUUGGUUACCUCAUUUUCCUCAACUGUUAAAUAAGAAUAGUAAUGGCACCUACUUCCCAGAGUUGUUUUGAGGAUCAAAUGAGAUAACAGUAUAAUGAGUGUUUCACGUUUAAUAAGCACUAUAUAAAUAUUUAUUCCCUUUCCUUCCCCUUCUGUUAAAUUUAUUCUGACAAAUCCAAUCCAAUUUACUAGAAUUUAUGAAGGCAGAGAUACCAGAGUAUUUUAAUAAAUUACACUGGGUCUCUAUAAUAAGAUUUGGGGAUCAUCAUGUAAUCCUUCAAAAUAAUUUUAAGAUUAUAGAGCACUAAAACACCCAUUGCCCAGCCACAUCUCCCCUAACCUGUAUUUUAGAAGAUUCAAUUAUAAAACUUUAUAUCUAUUAAAUUUUAUUUUAGGGGUAGUUGGCCUAUCAUUUUAACCCAUAACGAUCAUUUUCAAAUUUGAUCCCAUAAAUCAAAUAAUGCUGUAAUGCCAGUUUUAAAUAAUUCAACUGAAAAACUUAUUGUUUGUCCCAAGGGAGAGAACAUGUGGUCUUUCUUUUAUGUCGCUGCAUUUUGUGGAUAUAAUUAUCUCCAAAUACAUAUGUAGAGUCAGUCUCUCCACAGACAUCGUCUUUCAUCUUUAACUACUAAAACGUCUCCUCCCGUGUGUCUCACUUGUACCUCAAGUUCAACAGUAUCAGAACUAAAACCUGAUGAUGCUGAUGAUGAUAGCAUUUAUCAUCAUGAUACUGAUGAUAGUGUUUAUAUAGCACUUUAAAUUUGUAAGAGUGCAUUAGAGAUAUUUUAUUUGAUCCUACCAGUUUCCCUGAGAAGUGGAUGCUAUUCUGUCCAGUUUACAAAUGAGGAAAAGGAAGCAGAUGGAAGUGAAGUGGCUUUCCAGGGUCCUACAAUUAAUAAAUCUCUGAAGCUGAAUUUGAAUUCAGGCUUUCUUGACUCCAGGUUCAAUAGUCAUUGCACUAUAACAUUUAUAGUUGCCUCAGCUCUCCUGUUCUUCCUCUCAGCUUUUUCCUUUCAUUCCUCUGCUUGAUUUCCAGGAGGUCGUCUGUCAUUUUUCUCCUCCUGUCCAACCAUUUUCUAACAUGUACUAUCAGUUCUCUCUCCAGCUUGUGUCUACCUCUACUAUUACCAAAAGUUGUUCUGCCUAAUUUCAGAACCUGGAUUGCUGUAAUAACAUCUUCCUAAUUCCUGUCUGUACACUUCCAGUUUCUCACCAUUCAUAGUCCCAGAAAAGUUAGGAAAGAUCUUGGAAGCCAUCUAUAGCAACAUACAUUUAAGCUUUUACUGGAAGACAUUUCAUGAGGUUAGCCAUUCAAUUUGAGUCUAUCUGCUAUUGUAUAGUAUAGUAAAAGUGUCAGAUUUUGGAGUCUGAAGAUGUGGAUUCAAAGUUUGCUCCGGUAUACAUCAUUUAAGCUCUUUGAGCUUGUUUUUUCAACUGUAAAAUAGGGAUACUAUUUAGUUUACCUGCCUUAUAAGUUAUGGUAAGAAAAGCACUUUGUAAACAUUAAAAUAUUAUAGUGGUUUCUGUCAUUCUCUAUGUGUUGGUCUGAUCAUACCACUUAUCUUAUUUUAAAAUCAAAAAUCUUCAAUAGUCCCAUAUAGGAUAAAAAGCAAAUAAAUUCCUUUGCUUGCCAUUAAUGACUUGCCACAAAUUGGCUAUUGCUUAUCUUUCCAGGUGUAUAUCAUACUCUUUCACAUACUACAUAUUUUAGUCAAAUUAGGCCCUUCAAGUUUUAUUCCCCCUCAAGUUAACAUUCCUCUCUAUUAUUCUGCCCCCUCCUUAGAAAGUGACCAUCUUCCAUUCCUGGCAUGUGGUCUCUCUUUGGUACCACCAAAUAAAAUCCGGCUUUAAGGAUUCAAUUCCAUUGCUAUGCUACCUCUUCCCUGAAGCCUUUGCUGAUCUUCCCACUUUUUAGUUCAAAAUGGUCUUUCCAUUCUCAGGGACUUUAUAUCUUGUCUUAUCAAAACCCACCUUGUUUUGUCUAAAUAUCAUUUUACUCCACCCUCUGGAAUUUAACCUUGAGGAAUCUCCAAUCAAACCCAUGUCCAAGAGAGAUCAAUUUAUUCAAGUCCUAUGGGCCAUCAGAUUGCCUCCUUAGCUUUCCAGUUUCCUAAGAACAUAGACUGGUAUCAAGACAAUUUUCAAGCUUGGUUUCUAUUCAUUUUAAUUAACAAAUAUUGAUUACAGAAAAACCAGGGUUAGAUUGCUUGGAAAUAAUACUAACUGGUUUGACAUCCCAUCUAGUUAAAAGGCUAUACUGUGGUAGAACUGACAAAAGAACUAGCAAAAUAAAACUCAUAAUCUCUGAAAGUGAGUUUUUCCAAUAUUUCUAAUAUCAUGGAAUAAUUAAGACUGAAAAUUCUGUUCAUUUAUCAUUUUUUAAUCUGUAUCUAGCCAUCUAGUCUGAUUUGCCCCUGAAAAAGAAUCUCUUCUUCACAUCUCCAGUAAAGUGGCCAUCCUGCUUCUACUUAAAGACUUCAAGGGGCAAUAAGGGGAGAGACAAGGCAACCAGGUUUUUUUUUUAUAGUUUUGUUAGGAAUUUCUAAACCACUGUUUGUCACGGCUCAUAAUUUCCUCCUGUAGAGCAAGAAGAAUCAAUAGCAUUCUUCUUCCAGAUGAAAAUUUCCAAAUACCUGAAAGCCGUUGUCAUCUCCCUAAGUCACAAAGAAUUAUAUUUGCGUGACUUUAGGUCUAUAUUUUGAGCAUACAUUUGCCUCUCCAUAACUUCCACCAUUUAGUCCUAAUAGAAGAACUAAGAGCCGCGGGAGAUAAGAGCUAGCUUUUCUAAAGCUCUUCCAGGUUUACUCUGCCCUUUUCAUGUUAUCUCAUGUUAAUCAUAAUAGCCCUUAUAGACAAGUCCCAUUAUUCCCAUUUUACAGAUAAGGAAACAUACUGAAAGAGAUCUUGUGGUUUAUUCAUUGUCACAUAAGCAACAAGUAUUUGAGGUAGGAUUCAAAUUCAGGUCUUCUGACUCCAAGUCCAGUGUUUUAUUCUGUGGGCCACCUGACCAAACUGAAAAAAGCUGAAUCCUUUUCCAACAAACAACUUUUUAAAUACUUAAUGCUGUUGAUUAGGAAAUAUAGCAUAGCCUGGUAGAGCAGAAUAGAGCUCUGGACUCAGAUUGAGGAAAAUCUCACUUUGAAUCCCACCUUGGGCUCAUCCUAGCUGUAUUUCAAGCCUCAGUUUCCUUAUAGAAUCAUUAGAGCUGGAAACACCAGAGGCCAUCUGGUCCAAUACAGUCUCAUGGCAGAGAUGAAAAUUGAUUCCCACUGAGUUGGUGACAUAAAAUACCCAUGAUCACAGAGGUGAGAUUGGACCAGAAAUUAACUCCAAAUGCAGUGUUCUUUCCACUAGGGCACAUUGCCCUAUGAAUGGAGAUAAUAUAUGAACAGUGUUGCUUUGUGGUAUAAGGCACUUUGCAAAGUUAUAUCACCCUGUAUAUCAGGUCUUCUCUCUGCAGCCUCAUUUUUGUGCCCCACCACCCCAAUUCCAUGUCAUCUCAUCUCUAAGCUUAAUUGGCCUGGAGUUUAUGACUUACAGAGAAACCACUAGUUUCCUUCAAAUGUCAAAAGGAAAGGAGGGUUCCCAGCAGCAUGUUGGGUAACUAACACUCCCUUUCUCCCCCUGGAUGAGCUAAUGGAUGACAUGGAUUAGCCUACAAGAAUUGUACUGGAAGGACAGGCAGGGAUGAGCUGUGAUCUUUCUUAGAGGAAGCAUCUUCAUCAAUGAGCCCACAGAUUCAUCCUAGUUUGUAUUUUCAUGGGCAAGGAGCAACUCUGAAUCCAGAAAAAGCACAACAAAGUCAAUUGGACAUUGAAGGAUAGGGUGAUAGAUUUUUUUUCAUCUUUCCACUAUGUGCUUUCUUUGGUAACAUCAUUAAACUGUAAUGCCCAAAUCUAAAUACAAUACUCCAGAUGUAAUUAGACUAACACAAAAUACCAUGAGAACUGAUAUCAACUAUUACUGCAGCUUAGUAUUGCAUUAGCUGUUUAGGCAAAUAUAUCAGUAUCCCCUCACUGAGCUUGUAGACAAACCCCCAACCCCUUUUUCACAUGAACUCAAAGAGGCAAAUUUCCCUAUAUCCCAUGGGUGAGAAUUUUUUUACAACCUGAUUUUUGUGUGUGUGCAAGGCUCAGUGGGGAUGACGAUAAGCUUUUAUCUGUUAAUCAACAAACAUUAAGCAUCUACUUGUGCCAGGCAUUUUGCUAGGCUACAGGGAUAAAAAUACAAAAAAUGAAACAAUCUACUUUCAAGGAGCUUUCUAACGUGAGAAAAUAAGUACGCAUAUAAGUAUAUACAGAGAAUAAAUUUGAGAUAGUUUGGGAGGAUGAGAAUCAGGAAGGAAAAACUUUAAAAAGGUGACAUUUAGGAAGUGCAUUUCAGGCAUGCAAUAUAUACUGCCUCUACACCUACUAUUAAAGUCAGCACAAAGAUAUACUAAAGUCACAACACAUGAUAGGCUCAAUAUUCCAACCUACAGUUAUCAAAAAAAGGAAGACACUUCCUCAUGACUCAGAACAGAGGACAAUGAGAGCAUGAGAAUUGUCUUUUAGUAUUUUAAAGACUGUGUGAUAUGAAAGAAGAGUUAGACUUAUUUUCUUUGGCCUCAGAAGACAAAACUAGUAUCUGUUAAUUUUAAAGAAAAAGGAAAUGAGACUUUGCUCUUAGUGAACCUAUGCUGGUUACUACUUGUUUUCUAAAUACUCUAAAAAACACUUCUUUUUCAGGGACAAGAGUCAAGCUUAUUUGUUUAUAGAUCCCUAAAUCUUCCUUUUCAUUUUUGUUUUUUAAUUGGAAAUAGUAUUUGACCAUUCCUAUCCUCCUGAGAUUUCUUCCAUCCUCCAUGUCUCUCCCUUCCUCCCUGCUCCCUCAUCUCCCUUUUCCCACCUCCAGCUGUCUCUUGUCUCCUUCCUCCUUCCCCCCACCCUACCAGCCCCCUCCCAUCUCUCUGUGCUGGCAAUUGUCCUCAUUUCCUCUUCGUCCAUUGCUGAUUCUAUGUAGCCCAGCUGACGUCUGUCUUUUUUGUUUUCUUUAAAGAUUUAUACCUUUUAUUUAUGAGUAGGAAAAUAGAGAGCCCCUAGUUAUUUUUGAUGAAUUCAGUUUUUUUCAAUCAAUAAUUAUUCAUUAAAUGCCUACUGUAUUUAAUGUACUCUAAGUACUGUAUUCUAAGUACUGGGAAUACACAGAAAAAGCAAGACAGUCUCUUAUUUUCCAGUAGUUCACAGUCGAAUGAGGGAAGGAGAUAACAUGCAAACAGAAAUGUACAAAUAUCUAUAUAUAGGAGAAAUAGGAAAUAACUGACAGAGGGAAGGCACUAGAAUUAAGAGGACCACAUUAAUUCCAUCCUAAGGUAAGGAGGGAAUGGAGUGUAUGAUUGCUCAAGUUGCCAGAGCUCAUUAAAAUACCAUGAAGAUUAGAGAAGAAACCAAUCAUAUGCUUUUUACAUCUAUGACUAGGAGAUGUUAUCUUAACCAGAAAAGGACUAGAGACAAUUAUAAAAGUUAAAAUAGAUAAAUUACAUAUAAUUGAAAAGCUUUUGCAUAAAAUUAAUGCACUUAGGAUAAGAAGAGAAAUGGUCAAAUGAGAAACAAUAUUUGUAUCCAAUUUCUCUGUUAAGGAUUAGGUAGUCAACAUAGAACUAACAACAAAUAUUUAAGAACAAGUAUUUCCAGUAUAUAAAUGGUGAAAGGAUACAGUUUUCAAAAGAUUUACAAAAUAUUUGCAACUAUUUGAAAAAAAUGGCAAACUACAGUUAAAAGAAAUGUAAAUCAAAACAAUCUUAGGUUUCAUUGUUCACACCCAGUAAGUUGGCAAAGAUAACAAAAGACAAGAAUAAUAAAUGUUAGAAGGGUGUGAAAAGAUAAACUAUUCGAAUACAUUGUUGAUAAAGCCGUGAAUUAGUGCAAUCAUUUUGGAAAGCAGUUUGGUAUUAGAAAAAUAAAGUGGCUAAAAUGUCUGUAUUCUUAGCUCAGAGAUUUCACUACUAAGUAUAUACCCCCAAACAAGUCAUUGAUAAAAAGAGGCUUCAUAUGCACCAAAAUAUUUAUUGUAGCACUUUUUGUUUUAGCAAAGAACUAGAAACAAAGUAUAUGCCUUUCUGUGGGAGAAUGGUUAAAUUGUGGUAUAUGAAUGUAAUAGACUGUUAUUGUGCUGUAAGAAAUAAUAUAAUUAUUACAGUGCAACAUGGAAAGAUUUAUAUGAACUGAUACAGAGUGAAGAAAACAGACCCCAAAAAACAAUAUCGUAACGAGUACAACAAUGGAAAUGGAAAGGACAACCACCAUAAAAGAACCAAAAAUGAAUGUUGCAAAAUUACAAAGAAAACAUGUUUAGUCCCAGAGAAGAACUAUAAGAAGACACCUUACCCCCACUCUUUUGCAGAGGUGGGGAAGUAGGGGGUCCAUGGGUGUAAAACAUUGUGUAUGUUUUAAGAUUUUUUCAAUGUAUCGAUCAGUUUUGCUGACUUUUUUUUUCCCUUCUUAAAAAUAAAUCUUUGUUAUAUGAAUGGUUCUCUGGGGAAAGAAGAAAUACAGGGGGGAAUUUAGAUGAUGUUUCGAAAAAGAUAUCAAUAAAAUUUAUUUCAAAAAUAAUCUCUACUUUCCUCCUUUCUCUCCCUGGCCGAAAACAAAAACCACAAAAGAAAAUGUGCCAUAGGACUAAGAGGGACAAGUUCUGAUUUUCAUAGAAAAAUAAGUCAAAUAGAGACUAGUGAACUUCAGUUCUUCGCAGAAAUUCUCUCUUGUACUCAGCCUUUAUCAAGCCACAUCUGGAAUACAGGGAUCAUUUCUGGGUACCAUAUUUUAGGAAGGAUAUUGGUAAACUGCAAAGUUUUCAGGAGAGGGCAAGGAGAAAGAAAAUUAGAAUGGACUGUAUAAAAAUGGUUAAUA